Molecule: ribosomal RNA, 679 nt
Filed under: Penicillium paxilli
Lineage: Eukaryota; Fungi; Ascomycota; Eurotiomycetes; Eurotiales; Aspergillaceae
Description: eukaryotic LSU rRNA
Rfam family: Eukaryotic large subunit ribosomal RNA
Source: RNAcentral
GUAUGGAUGGGUGCCACGCCCGUGUGAGCUCUUCGACGAGUCGAGUGUUUGGGAUGCAGCUCUAAUGGUGGUAANUUCAUCUAAGCUANAUNUGGCCGGAGACCGAUAGCGCACAAGUAGAGUGAUCGAAAGAUGAAAAGCACUUUGAAAAGAGAGUUAAAAAGCACGUGAAAUUGUUGAAAGGGAAGCGCUUGCGACCAGACUCGCCCCAGGGGUUCAGCCGGCUUUCGGGCCGGUGUACUUCCCCCGGGGCGGGCCAGCGUCGGUUUUGGCGGCCGGUCAAAGGCCCUUGGAAUGUAACGCCUCUCGGGGCGUCUUAUAGCCAGGGGUGCCAUGCGGCCCGCCGGGACCGAGGAACGCGCUUCGGCUCGGACGCUGGCAUAAUGGUCGUAAGCGACCCGUCUUGAAACACGGACCAAGGGAGUCUAACAUCUACGCGAGUGUUCGGGUGUCAAACCCGUGCGCGCAGUGAAAGCGAACGGAGGUGGGAGCCCCCCGGGGCGCACCAUCGACCGAUCCUGAUGUCUUCGGAUGGAUUUGAGUAAGAGCGUAGCUGUUGGGACCCGAAAGAUGGUGAACUAUGCCUGAAUAGGGCGAAGCCAGAGGAAACUCUGGUGGAGGCUCGCAGCGGUUCUGACGUGCAAAUCGAUCGUCAAAUUUGGGUAUAGGGGCGAAAGAC